AGCGGGGUAGGGUAGCCUGGUAGCCUGCGGGGCUCAUAACCCCGAGGUCCCCGGUUCGAAUCCGGGCCCCGCUACCA
RNAcentral lists this transfer RNA (77 nucleotides) under Vulcanisaeta sp. EB80. RNAcentral describes it as "tRNA-Met". It matches the Rfam family "tRNA". From Rfam's summary of the family: Transfer RNA (tRNA) molecules are approximately 80 nucleotides in length. Their secondary structure includes four short double-helical elements and three loops (D, anti-codon, and T loops). Further hydrogen bonds mediate the characteristic L-shaped molecular structure. tRNAs have two regions of fundamental functional importance: the anti-codon, which is responsible for specific mRNA codon recognition, and the 3' end, to which the tRNAs corresponding amino acid is attached (by aminoacyl-tRNA synthetases). tRNAs cope with the degeneracy of the genetic code in two manners: having more than one tRNA (with a specific anti-codon) for a particular amino acid; and 'wobble' base-pairing, i.e. permitting non-standard base-pairing at the 3rd anti-codon position. RNAcentral also lists the same sequence under 3 other names. The record is from RNAcentral. Lineage: Archaea; Thermoproteati; Thermoproteota; Thermoprotei; Thermoproteales; Thermoproteaceae.